This 78-nucleotide non-coding RNA is filed under the name unclassified sequences. Its description in RNAcentral is "HTH-XRE RNA". It matches the Rfam family "HTH-XRE RNA". The record is from RNAcentral.
GAUCAGCAAAGCCGGGGAAUGUGCAGACAUUCAUCGGGAACUCCCGGCAAAAGGCUUGCAAAGGGUGAUUUCCCUUUC